UCCUAGCCCCGAUAGAAGCGGCAUCCUUUUGUGCCGGGGUUCGGCAUAAAAGAUAUAGCGGAUAGCGGGAAACAGC
Molecule: small RNA, 76 nt
Filed under: Flavobacterium defluvii
Lineage: Bacteria; Pseudomonadati; Bacteroidota; Flavobacteriia; Flavobacteriales; Flavobacteriaceae
Description: Flavo-1 RNA
Rfam family: Flavo-1 RNA
Source: RNAcentral